Molecule: long non-coding RNA, 1311 nt
Filed under: Callithrix jacchus (white-tufted-ear marmoset)
Lineage: Eukaryota; Metazoa; Chordata; Mammalia; Primates; Cebidae
Description: lncRNA (ENSCJAG00000080761.1)
Source: RNAcentral
AUUCACCUAACCUUUCAGUGCCUGGAUAACGUUUUUCAAGUGUGAUUCCUCCACCACAUUUGCGUUCUAUUCAUUUCUAGAUCUCUAGCGCCUGUCACAGUUACCUGGCCCACCGAUGGUUUUUGUUAGUAUUUGCUGAUUGAUUAGAAAUUCCCUCAUUAUGCAGCCUCUGGUGUGCUUCUGUCUACCCAGCACAGGGAUGCUCAGAAAUGGCUUAUAAAAUUACCUUUUUGUGUAUAUGCAUUUCACAUAUCCCCUCACCCCAGAGGCUUUGGUUUUCACCUAGUACCGAUCUUGAACACACGUCCUCCACAGCGCUUAUAUUUACAGUGAAUGACCCAUUUACCCAAAUUCAACAGUGUGCAUAACCUGCUUAUGCAUGAGACUUCUCCUAUUUUCUCAGAGUUUCCUGUAAAGCCCCAAAGCUGAAGAGAGCAGACAAAUUCCCCCAUAUUCUUACAAGAGUGUCAGGGAGCUGGUAGAGAUGCCCUCUAUGGCUUUCUGGGUCAUCUAUUGAUACUUUGACCGUCACCACUGCCCACCACAUCCUAACUAUCCUAUAUAAAGUGAAGACAUGACAUUUGAAGGAACAGUUCAUUGAUGUGAAGGAAUUUAGGCUUAAAGGGGAGUGCUGUACAUUGUCAUUUCCAGAUCCACUAAUGAGUUCCAAGAAAACUGUCAUAGAGUUUAGAAGUGGGUGCUUCAAGAAGGUGAGGCUGGUAUCUCACUCCCUGCCUGGAUGCUGGCUGAGCUCAGAAGCAUGGCAGCCAUUCUAGCUCUGCCAUGGGGAGUGGAGGCAGAGAAUUCCCAGAGGACUUGACUCCUUGACACUGGAACUUAGUGGGAUUCCUGAAUAUAGAGAACGAGGCAUAAUUACAACCUGGACUAUUGUGGCGGAUGAGGGUGGAUGGUGCAGCCUGCAAUGGCUGGGUUGAGAAAAGGGAUAAGAGGGCCAGCAUUUGGCAAGCAUUUUCCUUGCCACGGGAGCUGGCCAGGCUUAAGCCAUCUAGAAGGCAUCUUCCUGAGGGCCGCACAUGUGGGAGGGAACUCAACUGUGGAAAGUGCCAUGGUGCGGGGCAGGAGCUAAGAGAUGGUCCAAAGAGAGCAACCGAACAGCACACCCCCCCGCCCCCCCCCCACCAGGACCUAAACAUUAUAGCAGUUCCCACUGUGACUCUGAGGACUCACACACAUCUCACAAGAAUCCAGCAUUUGAAUGGUGGCAGCACAGAAGGGCCACCUAGUGUCAGCCAAGGGAGAAAGGUAACAGCUGGAGUGCAGUGGCAUGAACACCGCUCAUUGAAGAUUUGA